GGGGGGAGCAAGCGUUGUUCGGAUUUACUGGGCGUAAAGGGCGCGUAGGCGGCCACCGCAAGUCGACUGUGAAAUCUCCGGGCUUAACCCGGAAAGGUCAGCCGAUACUGCGGGGCUAGAGUGCAGAAGGGGCAACUGGAAUUCUCGGUGUAGCGGUGAAAUGCGUAGAUAUCGAGAGGAACACCUGCGGCGAAGGCGGGUUGCUGGGCUGACACUGACGCUGAUGUGCGAAAGCUAGGGGAGCGAACGGGAUUAGAUACCCCGGUAGUCCUAGCCUUAAACGAUGAAUGCUUGGUGUCUGGGGUUUUAUAGUCCCCGGGUGCCGUCGCUAACGCUUUAAGCAUUCCGCCUGGGGAGUACGGUCGCAAGACUG
This 373-nucleotide ribosomal RNA is filed under the name uncultured bacterium. RNAcentral describes it as "bacterial SSU rRNA". It matches the Rfam family "Bacterial small subunit ribosomal RNA", at positions 527 to 896 of the family's 1533-position model. The record is from RNAcentral.